GAGUUUGAUCCUGGCUCAGGAUGAACGCUAGCGGCAGGCUUAACACAUGCAAGUCGAGGGGCAGCGCGGGGCGGCAACGUCCUGGCGGCGACCGGCGGAAGGGUGCGUAACGCGUGAGGAACCUGCCUUGAAGAGGGGGACAACAGUUGGAAACGACUGCUAAUACCGCAUGAAGCAUAGGGGUCGCAUGAUCUUUAUGCCAAAGAUUUAUCGCUUCAAGAUGGCCUCGCGUCUGAUUAGCUAGUUGGCGGGGUAACGGCCCACCAAGGCGACGAUCAGUAGCCGGACUGAGAGGUUGAACGGCCACAUUGGGACUGAGAUACGGCCCAGACUCCUACGGGAGGCAGCAGUGGGGAAUAUUGGGCAAUGGGCGCAAGCCUGACCCAGCAACGCCGCGUGAAGGAAGAAGGCUUUCGGGUUGUAAACUUCUUUUAAGAGGGAAGAGCAGAAGACGGUACCUCUAGAAUAAGCCACGGCUAACUACGUGCCAGCCGCCGCGGUAAUAC
RNAcentral lists this ribosomal RNA (506 nucleotides) under uncultured bacterium. Its description in RNAcentral is "bacterial SSU rRNA". It matches the Rfam family "Bacterial small subunit ribosomal RNA", at positions 9 to 526 of the family's 1533-position model. The record is from RNAcentral.